RNAcentral lists this ribosomal RNA (203 nucleotides) under uncultured bacterium. RNAcentral describes it as "partial 16S ribosomal RNA". It matches the Rfam family "Bacterial small subunit ribosomal RNA", at positions 28 to 233 of the family's 1533-position model. The record is from RNAcentral.
GAUGAACGCUGGCGGCGUGCUUAAGACAUGCAAGUCGAACGGAGUGUGUAGCAAUACUCACUAAGUGGCGAAUGGGUGAGUAACACGUAGGUGACCUGCCCUGAAGUGCGGAAUAACAGUCCGAAAGGAUUGCUAAUACCGCAUGUGGUCCCGGGCGUUAGAGAACCGGGUCUAAAGCAGUAAUGCGCUUCAGGAGGGGCCGU